AAUGCCACUGCCACCCACUCUUGACGCUGUCUCUACAACAUUCCGAUCAACCACGGAAGACGAAGCAGAGCCGACUAAGAAGACGAUCAUUUGAUGUGAGACGUUGAAGGCAACCGCCUCACCGCCGCCGCAAUUCUCGGCUAAGACGGUAGCGUCUGGGCUCAUAGCUGAUUCUUAUUAGCUAUGUGCGUUUGACUCGACGAGACUUUGUUGUUUCUGGUUCGAUCUGUAUUUAAAGCUGCAACCUUUUUGGGGCCUCGUGUUACGUGCUCGUGAUCAUUGAAGCCUGAGGAGAUCAGUGGCAUCAACAAUGACUUUGCGGAGCCUGGAACACUUGCCCCAAUAGGAUUGUUCAUCGGUGGAACAAAGUCAUGGUAAUCCAAGGAUAACCAAAUGCUGUCAUUCGAGGAAAUAAGGGAGCUGGGGGUGUUACCAUCACGAAGACCAUACAAGCCUUGGUGUUUGGUAUCUUUGAAGAACCAAUGGCUCCUGGACAGUGCAAUAUGGUCGUGGGACUAUCUGAUUGAAUCGGGGCUCUGAAACUCAAGCUGCUGAUAGAGAAACUAUUUUAUAUUACCUCCUACCAUGGGAUGGAUGUUUGGGUUUGUAUGAUUCUAAAACCAAUAUGGUGUUGCCUUAAUUUAUGUCGGUUUGAAUUUUUUUUAUUGAAUGACAAUGUGAUACCAUAUAUCAAAUUG
Long non-coding RNA from Brassica oleracea var. oleracea, 698 nucleotides. RefSeq lists it as uncharacterized. The transcript is spliced from 3 exons. The record is from RefSeq and is a predicted model, not a curated record. Lineage: Eukaryota; Viridiplantae; Streptophyta; Magnoliopsida; Brassicales; Brassicaceae.